CCUACGGGAGGCUGCAGUGAGGAAUAUUGGUCAAUGGACGAGAGUCUGAACCAGCCAAGUAGCGUGAAGGAUGACUGCCCUAUGGGUUGUAAACUUCUUUUAUAUGGGAAUAAAAUGUUCCACGUGUGGGCUUUUGUAUGUACCAUAUGAAUAAGGAUCGGCUAACUCCGUGCCAGCAGCCGCGGUAAUACGGAGGAGCCGAGCGUUAUCCGGAUUUAUUGGGUUUAAAGGGAGCGUAGGUGGAUUGUUAAGUCAGUUGUGAAAGUUUGCGGCUCAACCGUAACAUUGCAGUUGAAACUGGCAGUCUUGAGUACAGUAGAGGUGGGCGGAAUUCGGGGUGUAGCGGUGAAAUGCUGAGAUAUCACGAAGAACUCCGAUUGCGAAGGCAGCUCACUGGACUGCAACUGACACUGAGGCUCGAAAGUGUGGGUAUCAAACAGGAUUAGAUACCCCGGUAGUC
RNAcentral lists this ribosomal RNA (460 nucleotides) under uncultured bacterium. RNAcentral's name for it is "partial 16S ribosomal RNA". It matches the Rfam family "Bacterial small subunit ribosomal RNA", at positions 338 to 795 of the family's 1533-position model. The record is from RNAcentral.